CUGGCGGCGUGCCUAACACAUGCAAGUCGAACGGAGUCAGAAAGCUUGCUUUUGACUUAGUGGCGGACGGGUGAGUAACGCGUGAGUAACCUGCCUCUGAGAGGGGAAUAACGUUCUGAAAAGAACGCUAAUACCGCAUAACGUAUUGAAGCCGCAUGACUUUGAUACCAAAGAUUUUAUCGCUCGGAGAUGGACUCGCGUCCGAUUAGUUAGUUGGUGAGGUAACGGCUCACCAAGACCGCGAUCGGUAGCCGGACUGAGAGGUUGAUCGGCCACAUUGGGACUGAGACACGGCCCAGACUCCUACGGGAGGCAGCAGUGGGGGAUAUUGCGCAAUGGGGGCAACCCUGACGCCAGCAACGCCGCGUGAAGGAUGAAGGUUUUCGGAUUGUAAACUUCUUUUAUCAGGGACGAAAUCUGACGGUACCUGAUGAAUAAGCUCCGGCUAACUACGUGCCAGCAGCGGC
This 467-nucleotide ribosomal RNA is filed under the name uncultured bacterium. Its description in RNAcentral is "bacterial SSU rRNA". It matches the Rfam family "Bacterial small subunit ribosomal RNA", at positions 36 to 518 of the family's 1533-position model. The record is from RNAcentral.